GCCUUGAUGGCGCAGUGGUAACGCGUCGCACUUGUACACGAGUCUAUACCACUCUUUGCUCAAUUCAAUGCGAAGAUCCCUAGUUCAAUUCUGGGUCAAGGCA
Molecule: non-coding RNA, 103 nt
Organism: Mollisiaceae sp. DMI_Dod_QoI
Lineage: Eukaryota; Fungi; Ascomycota; Leotiomycetes; Helotiales; Mollisiaceae
Source: the annotation of a GenBank genome assembly